GCCUUUACGGCGGCCACAAUUUCUCAGCAUUGCUUUUCCUAAAUGAAAAUUGCCAGAUGUUAUCCUGCUACUGGCACAGAAAGGAAGUUCAGAUAUCACAAUGCAAAGCUCUACCGCCGGGUUGCCGGAGAACAAAAAAGGCGAUGAAUCAAACAUUCCCGCUGUGCUGCAAGAAGACCUGCAAACCGAAAAAGCAGCACUGUCUUACGAGAGACGGCGAGUUGGUGAGAGACGGACAACGCCUGAACUUGUCUGAGCCCUGCGUUAGCUACAGCUGCCAUAGAGGACGAAUUACG
RNAcentral lists this long non-coding RNA (296 nucleotides) under Dermacentor andersoni. RNAcentral's name for it is "uncharacterized LOC126518357". Lineage: Eukaryota; Metazoa; Arthropoda; Arachnida; Ixodida; Ixodidae. The record is from RNAcentral.